RNAcentral lists this transfer RNA (76 nucleotides) under Anguilla anguilla (European eel). RNAcentral's name for it is "tRNA-Lys". It matches the Rfam family "tRNA". Rfam says of the family: Transfer RNA (tRNA) molecules are approximately 80 nucleotides in length. Their secondary structure includes four short double-helical elements and three loops (D, anti-codon, and T loops). The record is from RNAcentral. Lineage: Eukaryota; Metazoa; Chordata; Actinopteri; Anguilliformes; Anguillidae.
CACUAAGAAGCUAAAUUAGGGAAACAGCGUUAGCCUUUUAAGCUAAAGAUUGGUGGUCCCCAACCACCCCUAGUGA